AGUGAACGCUGGCGGUAGGCCUAACACAUGCAAGUCGAACGGCAGCACAGUAAGAGUUUGCUCUUACGGGUGGCGAGUGGCGGACGGGUGAGGAAUACAUCGGAAUCUACUUUUUCGUGGGGGAUAACGUAGGGAAACUUACGCUAAUACCGCAUACGACCUACGGUUGAAAGCAGGGGAUCUUCGCACCUUGCGCGAUUGAACUAGCCGAUGUCGGAUUAGCUAGUUGGCGGGGUAAAGGCCCACCAAGGCGACGAUCCGUAGCUGGUCUGAGAGGAUGAUCAGCCACACUGGAACUGAGACACGGUCCAGACUCCUACGGGAGGCAGCAGUGGGGAAUAUUGGACAAUGGGCGCAAGCCUGAUCCAGCCAUACCGCGUGGGUGAAGAAGGCCUUCGGGUUGUAAAGCCCUUUUGUUGGGAAAGAAAAGCAGCAGGUUAAUACCCCGCUGUUCUGACGGUACCCAAAGAAUAAGCACCGGCUAACUUCGUG
Molecule: ribosomal RNA, 492 nt
Filed under: uncultured bacterium
Lineage: Bacteria
Description: partial 16S ribosomal RNA
Rfam family: Bacterial small subunit ribosomal RNA
Source: RNAcentral